Non-coding RNA from Triticum urartu, 115 nucleotides. The record is from Rfam. NCBI's taxonomy places the organism in Eukaryota, Viridiplantae, Streptophyta, Magnoliopsida, Poales, Poaceae.
UAUAUACUCCUUCUGUUCGGAAUUACUUGUCUUGAAUAUAAAUGUAUCUAAAACUAAAAUGCAUCUAGAUACAUCCAUUUCUGCGACAAGUAAUUCCGAACGGAGGGAGUACUAC